RNAcentral lists this ribosomal RNA (2903 nucleotides) under Enterobacter sp. 18A13. RNAcentral describes it as "23S ribosomal RNA". It matches the Rfam family "Bacterial large subunit ribosomal RNA". The record is from RNAcentral. Lineage: Bacteria; Pseudomonadati; Pseudomonadota; Gammaproteobacteria; Enterobacterales; Enterobacteriaceae.
UUAAGCGACUAAGCGUACACGGUGGAUGCCCUGGCAGUCAGAGGCGAUGAAGGACGUGCUAAUCUGCGAAAAGCGCCGGCGAGGUGAUAUGAACCUUUGACCCGGCGAUGUCCGAAUGGGGAAACCCAGUGUGAUUCGUCACACUAUCGUUAACUGAAUACAUAGGUUAACGAGGCGAACCGGGGGAACUGAAACAUCUAAGUACCCCGAGGAAAAGAAAUCAACCGAGAUUCCCCCAGUAGCGGCGAGCGAACGGGGAGCAGCCCAGAGUCUGAAUCAGCUUGUGUGUUAGUGGAAGCGUCUGGAAAGUCGCACGGUACAGGGUGACAGUCCCGUACACGAAAGCACACAGGCUGUGAACUCGAAGAGUAGGGCGGGACACGUGGUAUCCUGUCUGAAUAUGGGGGGACCAUCCUCCAAGGCUAAAUACUCCUGACUGACCGAUAGUGAACCAGUACCGUGAGGGAAAGGCGAAAAGAACCCCGGCGAGGGGAGUGAAAAAGAACCUGAAACCGUGUACGUACAAGCAGUGGGAGCACCUUCGUGGUGUGACUGCGUACCUUUUGUAUAAUGGGUCAGCGACUUAUAUUCUGUAGCAAGGUUAACCGUAUAGGGGAGCCGAAGGGAAACCGAGUCUUAACUGGGCGUUAAGUUGCAGGGUAUAGACCCGAAACCCGGUGAUCUAGCCAUGGGCAGGUUGAAGGUUGGGUAACACUAACUGGAGGACCGAACCGACUAAUGUUGAAAAAUUAGCGGAUGACUUGUGGCUGGGGGUGAAAGGCCAAUCAAACCGGGAGAUAGCUGGUUCUCCCCGAAAGCUAUUUAGGUAGCGCCUCGUGAAUUCAUCUUCGGGGGUAGAGCACUGUUUCGGCUAGGGGGCCAUCCCGGCUUACCAACCCGAUGCAAACUACGAAUACCGAAGAAUGUUAUCACGGGAGACACACGGCGGGUGCUAACGUCCGUCGUGAAGAGGGAAACAACCCAGACCGCCAGCUAAGGUCCCAAAGUCAUGGUUAAGUGGGAAACGAUGUGGGAAGGCACAGACAGCCAGGAUGUUGGCUUAGAAGCAGCCAUCAUUUAAAGAAAGCGUAAUAGCUCACUGGUCGAGUCGGCCUGCGCGGAAGAUGUAACGGGGCUAAACCAUGCACCGAAGCUGCGGCAGCGACGCUUAUGCGUUGUUGGGUAGGGGAGCGUUCUGUAAGCCGUUGAAGGUGGCCUGUGAGGGUUGCUGGAGGUAUCAGAAGUGCGAAUGCUGACAUAAGUAACGAUAAAGCGGGUGAAAAGCCCGCUCGCCGGAAGACCAAGGGUUCCUGUCCAACGUUAAUCGGGGCAGGGUGAGUCGACCCCUAAGGCGAGGCCGAAAGGCGUAGUCGAUGGGAAACAGGUUAAUAUUCCUGUACUUGGUGUUACUGCGAAGGGGGGACGGAGAAGGCUAUGUUAGCCGGGCGACGGUUGUCCCGGUUUAAGCAUGUAGGCGGAGGUUCCAGGUAAAUCCGGUACCUUAUUAACGCUGAGGUGUGAUGACGAGGCACUACGGUGCUGAAGUAACAAAUGCCCUGCUUCCAGGAAAAGCCUCUAAGCAUCAGGUAACAUCAAAUCGUACCCCAAACCGACACAGGUGGUCAGGUAGAGAAUACCAAGGCGCUUGAGAGAACUCGGGUGAAGGAACUAGGCAAAAUGGUGCCGUAACUUCGGGAGAAGGCACGCUGAUAUGUAGGUGAAGCCCCUGCGGGUGGAGCUGAAAUCAGUCGAAGAUACCAGCUGGCUGCAACUGUUUAUUAAAAACACAGCACUGUGCAAACACGAAAGUGGACGUAUACGGUGUGACGCCUGCCCGGUGCCGGAAGGUUAAUUGAUGGGGUUAGCGGCAACGCGAAGCUCUUGAUCGAAGCCCCGGUAAACGGCGGCCGUAACUAUAACGGUCCUAAGGUAGCGAAAUUCCUUGUCGGGUAAGUUCCGACCUGCACGAAUGGCGUAAUGAUGGCCAGGCUGUCUCCACCCGAGACUCAGUGAAAUUGAACUCGCUGUGAAGAUGCAGUGUACCCGCGGCAAGACGGAAAGACCCCGUGAACCUUUACUAUAGCUUGACACUGAACACUGGUCCUUGAUGUGUAGGAUAGGUGGGAGGCUUUGAAGCGUGGACGCCAGUCUGCGUGGAGCCGUCCUUGAAAUACCACCCUUUAAUGGCUGGUGUUCUAACGUAGACCCGUAAUCCGGGUUGCGGACAGUGUCUGGUGGGUAGUUUGACUGGGGCGGUCUCCUCCCAAAGAGUAACGGAGGAGCACGAAGGUUAGCUAAUCCUGGUCGGACAUCAGGAGGUUAGUGCAAUGGCAUAAGCUAGCUUGACUGCGAGAGUGACGGCUCGAGCAGGUGCGAAAGCAGGUCAUAGUGAUCCGGUGGUUCUGAAUGGAAGGGCCAUCGCUCAACGGAUAAAAGGUACUCCGGGGAUAACAGGCUGAUACCGCCCAAGAGUUCAUAUCGACGGCGGUGUUUGGCACCUCGAUGUCGGCUCAUCACAUCCUGGGGCUGAAGUAGGUCCCAAGGGUAUGGCUGUUCGCCAUUUAAAGUGGUACGCGAGCUGGGUUUAGAACGUCGUGAGACAGUUCGGUCCCUAUCUGCCGUGGGCGCUGGAGAAUUGAGGGGGGCUGCUCCUAGUACGAGAGGACCGGAGUGGACGCAUCACUGGUGUUCGGGUUGUCAUGCCAAUGGCACUGCCCGGUAGCUAAAUGCGGAAAAGAUAAGUGCUGAAAGCAUCUAAGCACGAAACUUGCCCCGAGAUGAGUUCUCCCUGAGACUUUAAGUCUCCUGAAGGAACGUUGAAGACGACGACGUUGAUAGGUCGGGUGUGUAAGCGCAGCGAUGCGUUGAGCUAACCGAUACUAAUGAACCGUGAGGCUUAACCU